This is a ribosomal RNA of 240 nucleotides. It matches the Rfam family "Bacterial small subunit ribosomal RNA", at positions 345 to 577 of the family's 1533-position model.
GAGGCAGCAGUGGGGAAUAUUGCACAAUGGGCGCAAGCCUGAUGCAGCCAUGCCGCGUGUGUGAAGAAGGCCUUAGGGUUGUAAAGCACUUUCAGCGAGGAGGAAGGCAUCACACUUAAUACGUGUGGUGAUUGACGUUACUCGCAGAAGAAGCACCGGCUAACUCCGUGCCAGCAGCCGCGGUAAUACGCAGGGUGCAAGCGUUAAUCGGAAUUACUGGGCGUAAAGCGCACGCAGGCG